GUAGGUGGCAAGCGUUGUCCGGAAUUAUUGGGCGUAAAGCGCGCGCAGGCGGUUCUUUAAGUCUGAUGUGAAAGCCCACGGCUCAACCGUGGAGGGUCAUUGGAAACUGGAGAACUUGAGUACAGAAGAGGAAAGCGGAAUUCCACGUGUAGCGGUGAAAUGCGUAGAGAUGUGGAGGAACACCAGUGGCGAAGGCGGCUUUCUGGUCUGUAACUGACGCUGAGGCGCGAAAGCGUGGGGUAGCAAACAGGAUUAGAUACCCUGGUAGUCCACGCCGUAAACGAUGAGUGCUAAGUGUUAGGGGGUUUCCGCCCCUUAGUGCUGCAGCUAACGCAUUAAGCACUCCGCCUGGGAGUACGGCCGCAAGGCUG
This 371-nucleotide ribosomal RNA is filed under the name uncultured organism. RNAcentral's name for it is "partial 16S ribosomal RNA". It matches the Rfam family "Bacterial small subunit ribosomal RNA", at positions 527 to 896 of the family's 1533-position model. The record is from RNAcentral.